This 263-nucleotide long non-coding RNA is filed under the name Mytilus galloprovincialis (Mediterranean mussel). The record is from RNAcentral. Lineage: Eukaryota; Metazoa; Mollusca; Bivalvia; Mytilida; Mytilidae.
CUCAUUUAUAACAAACAUUCUGACAUCAAUAACAUCUCAAAACAUACUUAUCAAUCACACAGCAUUCAAAGGUUGAAAUUGACUUAAAAUAAAGUAUUUUUACGUAGGACCACAAUAUACACUUUGAUGAAAUACUAGUAAAAGUCUGUUUUGAGUUAUAUUUCUUGAACAGCCCAGAAUGUUUUAUAAUGCUUUUUAAGUUUCUAUUGCAAAGUGGCAUUUAUAUGUCAUAGAUAAGUAUGCUAAUUUCCAGGAAAAAAUUU